RNAcentral lists this long non-coding RNA (11032 nucleotides) under Nicotiana benthamiana. RNAcentral's name for it is "long non-coding RNA (NBEN_LNC011717)". Lineage: Eukaryota; Viridiplantae; Streptophyta; Magnoliopsida; Solanales; Solanaceae. The record is from RNAcentral.
UUCUUCUUCAUGAACUUUCAUAAAAAACAGAAAAAACUCUAGAGAAAAGAACCUACACACAAGAAACAAGGGUUGAAGCCUAAUAACACAAACAUACCAGCCGCCCAACACCAGCAACCACCUACAGGCGCCUCCUGCUCACUCACGACCGGACCCCCUUGAUUUUCGGCUUCUUCAACAGAACAUAGGGCCCCAGCCGUUUCUAUUCUUCUUCGUUCAAACACAAGAUGAAAAAAUAUUUGAACUCCAUCACCCCAAGAAGGAUCCAACCGCUGGACAACCUAGCCACUGGCCACCACUAUUAUCGCCGAAAACCAAACCAAGACAACAACCCCUAAUCUCGAUCUCCUCUAGACACUCACGAAUAGAAGACAGAGACAGGGGAUUGGCCGCAAAAAAGAAAAUGACCCCAUCUCCAUCUACCUUUCCAUCUCUCGACCAAACCAGCCCUUUUCCAACACACCCAUCGAAAAUACUCACCACACACACACGCUUACAGAAGUUAAAAAUACAUUUUAGAAUCAUGGAGUUCGUUUAGGUUGAAAGAUGUUUCGUGUUUGGGUUGCGCAAGGAUCAUUGCUCACUUCGAUCUACCUUGUUUCCCUUGUCCGCUGCUUUUCGAGAAGUUUGAAUUCAAAGCAGAGUUGACAAUAGAUUUGAAUCCUAUUGCACCAAAAAAGUUUUGACUCGAGGUUCCGGUCAAGGUUCAUGAUGUUUUGCGAUUCAAAGCCCUGAAGGUCCGUCCUAUCUUCUGUUCCCCUCUUGUCUGAUUUGCCUAUGAAUAGUUUUUAUUUUUCCAUGUUGAAUUUUGGUUGAAACUUUAAUUGUAAUAAUUUAUGGACUCUUGUCUAGAUGGACGUGUGGUGGUACCUAAUUCGAAUGGAAUCAAUAAUGGGUCAAUGAAGUAAUUGAGAAUAAGUGGGAUCAGAUCACAUGAGUUUGAAUAGAAUUAAGUUUAAGAAACUGGAUAGUAGAUGACAUGUUCUAUUUCGAUUUUGUUACUACUAGUUUCGUUUAAAGCUAGUAGCAUGCUUAGGCCGAUCACAUUUGGGUAGGCAAACUUUAGGAUUUUAUUUUGUUUAAUUUUGAGGCGAGAGAUUGUUUCCUUAGUUACAUUUAUCCGAGGAAUGCCCCGAAGGAUUUGUAAAAAUUUGAUUCCAGGGAAUGCCCCGUAGCACUUUUAUUUGGAGGCCAAAAGUAGAGUUUGUAGUAUUUUUAUCUUAUUUUAUUUUUAUUUUUAUUUUUUUGGAAGAGACGACCUCGAGCCUCUUGUGUGUUCAUUUUAUUUUUGUGUUAUAAUUUAAUAGCCAACUUGAUCAUGUAAGCAACCGUACUAGUUACGGGAAUCGGGGAAUGCCUAACACCUUCUCGCCAAGUCAAAUAAACCCCCUUAUUUGAAUCUUUAACGUGGAUUUAGUUUUGGGGUCCGAAGUGUUUUAAAGGAAAAACUAUAUUUUUAAAAAAAUACGGUGACCUCGCAUACCGAAAUCAAAGUCAGGAUGUGACUCUGAGUUACUUCCUUCAAACACAAAUUUUGUCACUUUUUAAUUGAAAAUCAUUUUCAAGAUUUACUAAAUCCUUUUAUUUAUAUUUAAGAGGGUUAGUGGAGUUUUGAAAAAAAAAGGGGUAUGACAUCUCCAGCAACUCUGCUGGGGAGGUGCAGGUUUGAGCUAGUACCUGAUCUUGUUGGAUUUUUAGGAUAUUCGAUUGAGGUUUUUAUGUAUUUUUUUUUGCUUUAUUUGACUUUUAUUUUAUGUCAUUUUAUUAUUUGCUCGUUUCUUAUUUGUUUACAGUUUACAAUUUUUCCUUUAUGUGCUCCUGCUUUAUAAAUUGUCAUUAAUUGCAUAACCAUGGGUCUUUUUUCUGCAACAAGUCUUCCGGAGUAUGUUUGAGUGUACACGGCCUUUUGUGAGUCACCCGUAUCCUUAGGGGAUUGGCGUGAGAGCGUGGAAUGGGCAGACAGCUAGAGCAGCCACCAUCGACCGCGUGCCGCCCCGAAUUGCCUUGUUAGUGAAACUCAAAUUUAGGUCAGCCUUUAUGUCAUUUACACCUAGUAGGGUUCAGUCCCAGGUACCGUGUCCCUUUGUAGGUGGCCUAUCCAAUUUUGUCAAAAUAGGAUCGUGGCCCAAAAAGACAUUCAAUCAUCCCUAUGUGAUACAUCUUGCAUCUUUGAGGGUAAAAAUGUCAUUUGGCGGAUCGAUGUUUGGGAAAUAAGGGUGCAAAAUGAAGCAAGUAGGGUUCAAUUAUAUUUUUCUUUCACAAUUUUUCAAGAAAAGACAAAAAAAUGAAAAUAAAAAAUUCAAAAAGAUUUUACACUUUCCCAUUACUUUUCAAAAAUGAAAAAAAAUCCAAAAAAAGAUUUUACACUCUUUCGUUAUUUUCUAAAAAAUUCAAAAAAGGAGAAAAAGAAAAUCCAAAAAGAUUUUACAUUUUUCGUCAUUUUUGAAAAAUUCAAAAAAAAGGUGAAAAAGAAAAUUCAAAAAGAUUUUACAUUUUCCAUCAUUUCUCAAAAAGAUAAAAAUAUAGUUUUUUCUAAUUAGAUGCAUUUUUUAAUUCUAUCCCAUAUGUAAUCUUCCUGAACUACGCGAACCUGAUUUUUGUCUUUCGGAACGAGAUACAUAGGAAACCCAAAUAGGAUCCAGUCUUCCUAGUAAGUCUUAGGUUCUUGGCUUUGCCGGAUCUUAGCCAAAUCUUCCAUGUCUAUCCACUUUUGGCCAUAUCGGCCAUUGUUGCAAAAUGGGGUUAUUUUCGCAAAAGUGAUUCAAUUACUCAUAUCUUAGGAUAUUGAGUCCACAACUAGGCAUCAUAUUUAUUUAAGGUCCAUCAUUUUUUAGUUUUCAUCUUUAGCCACUCUUUGCCACGUAGGCAUUUUGCAAAAAUAGCCCAAUCAUGUCUUGCAUGUGUCCACCAAUAGGAAGUGUUCUGAUCUCAGACAGUGUCUCGAGUCACUAAUCUUUUGGUCUUUUUUUCUCAUUCAGGUAUGGAUUCAUUUACCACAGCUCGAGCAUGAUUGAUACCCCAUGACCACUAUAUUCAUGAGCUGCUUAAGGAGCCUUUUUAUAUUUCGAGUUUGUUUUCUUGUUUUCUCUUACUUGUCUUGUACAGUAGUAUUCAUUCAUUUAGUUGGUGUCAGAGUUCUCGUAAUAUAGUUUAGAUUUCUGAGUUUCUCAUUAUCGUACUUCCUAUUUUGUAUUUGAAAAUCCAAAACGGUUAUAAAUGAAAAAUUCAAAAAGGUUUUUGUUUCUUAGUUUAUUUUGUCCAUUACCUUUCCAGAAUUAUGUUUGAUCUGAUUCAUAAGGGACAUGAUACGCAGGCAACCUACAUAGAGUUCGAUCGAAUCAUCUUUUGAUAAAAAAAAGAAAAAAAAGAAAAAAAAAGAAAAAAAGAGAUGAAAUUGUGCAUGUGAAAAAAUGAGAGGAAAAAAGAGAGAGUGAUAAUCAGAAAGAAAAGAGGGGGAAAGAAAUGAAAAACCAAGCGGUGUUAGAAAGGAAAAUGAAGAACUAAAUACGACAAGAAUAGUGAAAUUGAGAUGAUGUCAUAUGACCUUCGUACCCUUGAAGCCAUUCUAGAAUUGUUAAUUAUUGCUAGGGGCACUGCACGCAGUGUGAUAUUUCUAGCUGAUAAAUUUCCUAAUGCUAUAAAUGUCCUAACGCAGUAUGUUGGCUUUGUUUUUGCUCCUCUUUGUUACUUUCAUUGUUAUCAUAACAGAGGGUGGUUAGUUUGUGGUAUUUUGGCGAGUCAUCUGUACAAUACAAGGUCAAAGAGCAAGGUAGACAUGGCUAGGAAAGACUUUGAAACGGGAGUUGUUGACCCCUCGAGGGAGAUUGUGGAGUCAGAAUCUGAAUUUACAAAGGAGGUCCAAAGGCUUAAACAACAAAUUUCUGAAUUGUGUCAAGCAUGGUCCAAUGGCCAAGGAACACCCCGUUCUUAUAUUUUCCCAGAGUUCACACCCAUCUCAGCUACUACCACUCCGGUUUCAUUGUCGGAUCAAUUCUACCCAUUUAGGUCCAGUCUUUAUCCCAAUCGUACGACUAUAGCUGGAACUUCUGUUGUGCACUCCCAACGUGUGCCAUUGACAACCAAUUAGACAACCACCACAAUUAUGCAUGUCUUCACCAUCCCACAACUGACUGUGGUGCAGAGGAAAACUUGUGAGUCAUAAUUUUCUACCCAGCAAGAGCACUACCACUCUCCCGAGUACCUCUUGUACUUGUUUGAUCUUCAUGUAAACAUUGAGAAGCCUGCCCGAAAGAUGGCACUGAAAUAAAUGACCCAAAGAGUAAAAAACUUAGAACAACGGUUGAAAAACAUGCAAGGGUUGGUAGGUCAGAAGAGUAUUGCCUUCAAGGAUCUAUGCGUGUUUCCCGAUGUCCACUUGCCACCUGGUUUCCAGAUCCCUAAAUUCGAGAAGUAUGAUGGACAUGGAGACCCCAUAGUCCACCUGAAAAGGUAUUGCAAUCAACUAAGAGGUGUGGGAGGAAAUGAAAAAGUAUUGAUGGUUUAUUUUGGGGAAAUCCUUUUGGGUGUAGCCUCCGAAUGGUUUAUGGGUCAAGACAUAUCUUGAUGGUAUGUAUGUGAUGACUUGGAAUAUGCCUUUGUCAAACAGUUCCAAUAUAACAUCGACAUUGCCCAAGACCGCAAUUCCCUUUCAAUCUAAAGAAGAAAUCUGCUGAAAGUUUCAGGGAAUAUGCUAUUAAAUGGAGAGAACAAGCUACUAGAGUUAACCCACAUGUGGAUGACCACGAGAUAAUCACUGUCUUCCUUCAGGCUCAAGAGCUCUAUUACUUUCAAAAUAUGAUGUGCGCAGUUGGCAAAUCAUUCUCGGAAGCAGUCAAAAUGGGAGAAAUGGUAGAGAAUGGCCUCAAGACAGGAAAAAUUAUAAGUCAAGCAACUCUAAAAGCUGCAACUCAGGCUGUCCUGAUUGAAUCUGGUAAUUUUAGUGGCACGAGUGAGAAGGUUGAAAAAAUCAUGAUGACAUUAAGGUCGAGAAGAGUUCCUAGAAGAACAUCUCGAAGUCACGAUCAAACUCAUUUGUUUUUUGACAAUUCCUCUAAGAACCCACAAUACUCUGUUGCUCCACCCCAGUAUGUUUGCCAGCCACAAAUACACCCAGAAGGUGAGCUCCAUCAUCGCAAAAUCUCCACCAGCCUCCACAAAAUUUUCAAGUGUCCAACCCACAUCCAAGCCAGGGGGAUAGAGGUAAACAAAGGUUGAAAGAUAAUUUUAAACCGAUAGGAGAGUCAUAUGAAAACUUGUUUGAGAAACUAAAGCAUUAUGACCUGAGUGCACUUAUUCCUCCGAAUCAUGUGGACAAGCGUGCAAGAAGCUUUGACCCUUCUAAAAGGUACGAAUACUAUUCCACUGCACUGGGGGCACAAUGUAAAAAGUUGUCGGGAUUUGAAAAAAGAGAUAGAAAGAACGAUUCAGGAAGGGAUAAUUGUGGUCCAGGAUAGUGACACCUAGAAUAUCGCGCAGAAUCCUUUACCUAUACAUGAUGAUUCACACUUUGUGGGGAUGAUUCAUGUUAACACGGAGUAUGAGAAUCCUCUUGGGAACUUGCUGAUUGAAGUUAAUGAUAUUGAAAUUGGUGAAGGCCCCAGUAAUUUUGAUGUGCAGUCAAGUGGCUAACAUGUCGAGCUUGGUGAUUGGAAAGACACUCCUUUCUUGGCUAGCCAAGGAGGAGUUUUGGUGGUUUAUUUGUUGUCAUUUCUGUUUUCCGGGUUAUUUCAAGUUUGUAAUCCAGACUUUAUCUUAUGGUUCAAACUCUUCUUCUUUUUUGCCUAGUUCGUUUUAUUGUAGUAACUCGUCUAGUGUAAUCUAGGAUUAUUCCAGGGUUGUAACCCAAGUCUAUUUUGCUUGUUUUGUUCAUACCCUGUUUACCAUCUGUCUAAUGCAAUCUCCUAUUUUCUGUGAGUUCUAGUCAGUUUUGUUUAGGUCACUUUUCCUUUUACAGUUAUUUUCAAGCUAACUCUAGUGGCAUAACAUGCACGCAUAAUUCUCAGCCUGAUCUUCAAAGUUAGUCUAAUCAUGAAGCAACAACACGGUUUUGAACAUAAUAAAAGGAGGUAUAUGAGGAAAUAAGUAAAGAUUCACGCAUCAUGAGAUAACCUGAAGCUUGAAUUAAGUGAAACUGGGGCAGUUAGUUUGGGAAAUCAAGAGGUCGAUAAGAGCAUACAAUAAGGAAAUAUCUCUCAAGCAGUUUGAGAAAAAUCAGUUAGUGCUGAAAUGAAUUCUUCCACAUCAAUGUAAGGUUGAGUCAAUCUGCUUCGAACUGACAAGGUUCAUUCAUUAGGAUAAAGGUAUUGCCCAUUGGCACUUGUGUUUGUGUUGAUGCCAUUAGUAGAUACUGUGUAUGAUUUCUUUGUUUAUCUUCAAUUGCAUGUUUGUACUUGGCAUUUUUAAAGCUUUGUAUGACAAAGGCAUUUGAUUAUGCUACCCAAAUACUUUUAUCCUUUGCUACCUUUUGAGCCUUAAUUUAUUUUGUUUCAUACCCCUCCUUUUGGAAUUAGAAGUAGAGUUGGGAACUAGAAAAGAAAAGAAAAAAGGAGAAAAGAAAAGAAAGCAAAGAGAAAAAGAAAAAAAAGAGAAGAAAGAAAAAAAGGGAAAGAAUAGAAAAGGAAAAGGAAACAACAAAACUAGUCCAACUUUGUUUUUGAACUACGUUCGACCUGAUUCUUGUCACCACAAGAUAUGUAGACAGUAUUACAGUUCGUUCACACCAAAUAAAAUAAUUUAUAAUCCCCGAAGUCAAGAGUGGAGCAGUUUUUCUUAGAAAUCCCAUAAAAAAAAAUCCCCAGACUCCAAAAACUGGUGUAGAAGUUUUAAUUUUGGCUAAAAGACCUGAUUUCAAAAGUUAUAAUUUUUAACUCUUUCAUCUUAAAUUAUUUUGAGCCUUCAUGCCACCAUUUCUUUCUAACCCUGUCCAAAAUCCUACAUUACGAUCCAAACAAAGACCAUCUAACCAAUUUUUGAGGAUGCCAAAUCAAGGGUGUGGUGAAAGUAUGAUCUUUUUGCACCAUGGGUAAUACCUUUGUUCUUAGCACAAAGAGAGAAAAUGAUAAAAUGAGAGAGUCUUAUCGGUGAAAACCCUCAUGGGCAUCGUAAGGCAACAGUGAGUUGAGAAAAGAACAAAUGAGAGAGGCUUGAUGGUGAAAACCUUCAGGCACUAUUAGUCGACUGAGGAUUGUGGAUCAAAUGGGACAAUUAAAGCGUUGAAGCCUAGUUCAUAGGGAAUAGGUACAACAAGAGUGGAAUAUUAGACUUUCUUGAGAGAUUAAGCCACAUAAUCCAAAGGUACAGGUCGUGGUCAUUAUAGUUGGUAUCUACGUCUGAUAAGUUUCUACUUUGUAAUUUUCUUGUUAGGUAUCAUCUCUUCCCUUGUCCCUUAUUUUUUUCAUCUUGUUUUGUUUGAAUCCUUCUUGAGUCUGUUUGGCUAGAACAAGUGAAAAAUGACUUCAAAAUUUGCUACCAACUUUUCAAUUGUACAAAACAAAUUUGGCUAGCACAUCAAAGUGGCAUAAGUCAGGGAAAAGUGGUAUGCGCAUUGAGUUGGUAGCAAUCAACAUGUUUUGGAAUUCAUGUGAAAUGCAAGGGUUCGGUAAAUGUCAUUCAUGAGCAAAAUGCAACAAAUAAAGGAUAUUGGGAUCGAAUGGAACGGAGGUGUUUUCUAUGUGAUAAGGGUUGAAAGAAAAUGGGUAGCCGAUAAUAGUCAAGGUCGUCCAAGUUGAAAUCAAAGAGAAGCAGCCGCUCUCAAGGUCAAGGCCACAAACUAACCACCACAUUUAAACUCACAAGUUUUCUUUGUUUGAAACAGGAACAAAGAAGUGCAAGCAAGUGGGUUCAAAAACAAAAACAAAAAAAUAAAAGUAAAAGAAAAGAAAAAAAAGAGAAGAAGAGAAGAAUCGACAAAGGGAAGUUUUUCAAAUCUUUACCUUUAUCUGUCUUGUUAAUGUGCAUAAAAUGUUGCUAUUGCUCUUCACAUUUUUCCUCUUAAGAUAAAAUACGUAGUCUGAUAAAUUUCCUCCUAGGAUCGAAAUCUUAGUCUGAUGAAUCUUUCUCCUAAGAUGGAAGACCUAGCCUGAUGAAUUUUCUCCUAAGAUAUAAAAUCUUAGUCUGAUGAAUUUUCUCCUAAGAUCAAAAUCUUAGUCUGAUGAAUUUUUCUCCUAAGAUAACAAAAAAAAGACCUAGUCUAAUGAAUUUUCUCCGAGGAUCAAAAUCUUAGUCCGAUGAAUCUUUCUCCUAAGAUAGAAGACCUAGUCUGAUGAAUUUUCUCCUAGGAUCAAAAUCUUAGUUUGAUUAAUUUUUCUCCUAAGAUAACAUAAAAGUGACCUAGUCUGAUGAACUUUCUCCUUGGAUCAAAAUCUUAGUCUGAUGAAUCUUUCUCCUAAGGUAGAAGACCUAGUCUGAUGAACUUUCUCCUAUGAUCAAAAUCUUAGUCUGAUAAAUCUUUCUCCUAAGAUACAAAAAAAUGACCUAGUCUGAUGAACUUUCUCCUAUACUCAAAAUCUUAGUCUGAUGAAUCUUUCUGAAUCUUAGUCUGAUGAAUAUUUCUCCUAAGAUAGAAGAUCUAGUCUGAUGUACUUUCUCCUAGGAUCAAAAUCUUAGUUAAAUCUUUCUCCUAAGAUAGAAGACCUAGUCUGAUGAAUCUUUCUCAUAAGAUUAGAGACCUAGUCUAAUGACUUUUCUCCUAGGAUCAAAAUCUUAGUCUGAUGAAUCUUUCUCCUAAGAUAACAAAAAGGAACCUAGUCUGAUUAACUUUCUCCUAGGAUCAAAAUCUUAGUCUGAUGAAUCUUUCUCCUAAGAUACAAAACCUAGUCUGAUGAAUUUGCUAGUCAAAUGUUGUUGGUUGUACUCAUAGGAGACGCACAUCCCAGUCAGGUCUUUAGUUUUUCUCUCAUCAUUGCAUCAAUAGCAUAGCUAAUUUACUGUUUUUCUAACAAAACACAAAUCUUCCUAGUGCAAACUGGGGCAGAAAAUUUCGUUUGUGUUUGUUGUUUUGAUUGCAGGCACCCACCUAGAGAAUGAAGGAGUUUGUUUCAGAAUUAUUUCAAGUUUCAAGUUAGGAGCAGGCACCCAAAUGGAGAAUGAGGGAUGUCGUUUCAGAAUUCAAUUCAAAUUAGAAGUAGCAGAAGCUCGAGGCAAGAAUGCGAGCCAACUGUCCGAGGUGGCCAACAUAAGUAGUCUCAAUCCCAAAAAACAAAAAAAAAAAGAAAGAAAAGAAAGAAAAGAAAGAAAGUGAAUCCAAAAUGCCGAAGCAGAAAAAAGAUGUGAACUGCUCAAGACGUGGUUGAAGUCCCGAGCUCUACAUGUUCUGUCUUGAUCCAAAAAAGCUGAAGAAGAAUAAACUAGCACCUGCAGCUAGCGAGCGUCAAGGUUCAAACUAAAGUCUACAUGAAGAACCAUUCAAGACUCAAAGAUCAAGCUUCAGAAGACUUAUAGAUAGGAAUAUUGUGACUCAUAGCUGACAGGCUUAGUUAGUCUUUUUCAUUUUUUUGAUUUUGAUAUAAGAACAGGACCGCGAAUCGGAACCUCGACGGAAUGGCACCUCAAUCGGCUCACCACCUUGGUAUACUGCAUCAUCUCAUUCACUUCUGAACUAUACGUGUCCUGAUUCCUUUACAGCCAAGGAUAUGUAGGCAGCUCAAAUACCAGGGCUCGGUCACAUACUCCUUUCUUUUAAAUUGUUGGUCUCUCUAAAUAAGGGUCGGGUCAAAAAACCCGUCUAGUCAUUCUUUGUCUGAAAAUACUUCGUAUUUCCAGUCAAAGAGGGGUAGCUGUAGACAUGUGAGUUUUGAAUCUCCCCAAGAUUUUACAUAUUUUAGUAUUUAAAUACUUAGUUUAGGUUUAAUGUAGUUAUAUCAACUAAUUUUGACUCUUUUACAUUAUUUUUAUUAUAAAAUUAAAAAAUACAAAAAUAGUUUUAUUUUUCUCUAUUUAAUUAAGGUAUUAGGUAUGUUUACAAGAAUAUUAUUUUUUACCCAUUUUUAUUAUAAUCCUUGAAAAUACCAAAAAUAGCUUUAUGUCAUAAUAUAGUUCGUUUUAGUUAAUUAGUAAUAAUUUUACAAUUUUAUAGUAUGUUGUUGUAGGAAAGAAAUCAAUAUUUUUAGUCUUAUAAAGCUAAAAUACCCUUUUUAAAGACAAAUUUAGCCCAAAUAAAGGCCAAAUAUGAGCCCAAUCUUUUGACCCAUCCGCGAUUUUUGAGAAAUUAAUCCAAGUCAUUCAUUACAUCCCUAUCUAAGGGCUAAGAUCAUUUCUUAUAGAGACAAGACCAAAACCCUAGGGGUACCUUCAUAAAAAAUAAAAAAACCCUAGAGAACAAAACCUACACACAAGACACAAGGGCUGAACCCUAAUCACAUAAACUGACUUGACGUCCAACACCAGCAACCACUCAUAAAUGCCGCGUGCUCACUCACGACCGGACCCCCCCGGUUGCCAUCUUCUCCAAUAGACCAUAUGGCCCCAGCCAUUUCUCUUCUUCUUCAUUCGAACAUAAGACCAAAAAACAUCUGAACUCCCUUACCUUCAGAACGAGCUAAUCGCUGGACAGCCUAGCCGCUGGCCACCACUAAUAUCGCCGGAAACCAACCAAGACAACAACCCCUAAUAUCGAUCUCCUACAGACACUCACGAAUAGAAUAUAGAGACAAGGGAUCAGCCGCAAAAAAGAGAACGACCCCAUCUCCAUCUGCCUUGCCAUAUCCCAACCAAACCAGUACCUUUCCAACACACCCACCGGAAAUACUCACCACACACAAACGCUGACAGAAGCGAAAAGCACAUUUCAAAACUAUGGGGUUCGUUUAGGUUCAAAGCUGUUUCGUGUUUGGGUUGCAAGGAUCAUUGCUCGCUUCGAUCUACCUUGAUUCCCUUGUCCGCUGCUUUUCAAGAAGUUUGAAUUCAAAGCGGAGUUGAUAAUAGAUUUGAAUCCGUUGAUCAUGGUUCAUUGCACUAUACAAGUUUCGGUUCGAGGUUCCGGUCAAGGUCGACGAUGUUUUACUAUUCAAAGCUCUGAAGGUCCGUCCUAUCUUCU